This 893-nucleotide long non-coding RNA is filed under the name Triticum aestivum (bread wheat). RNAcentral describes it as "long non-coding RNA (TAES_LNC007546)". Lineage: Eukaryota; Viridiplantae; Streptophyta; Magnoliopsida; Poales; Poaceae. The record is from RNAcentral.
UCGUAUAGUCAAUAUUUUUUCAACACAUUUUGUAUCAACUGAUAACUUUGAAUCUUUGUGUCUUUCAUCAGAUCAUGCUUACUGUUGGAUUUGUGCAUGAAUAACUAAAAGCGCCAUGACAUUAUGCAUAUCCUUCAUUUUAGCCAUUAAACUUAUUUAUGUAUCCGGUGUUAAUUUAUUAUGAUUUCUUGUAUAUUCAUCUUAGAUAGGGUGGUCUUUGAGUGGAUUUGGUCAUCCUAAAUUUUGUGUGGAUUAUUUUUUGAGUCCUGCUUAGCUUUGCGAAACAAUAAUUAUUAUAGUCUUUGAUCUGCACAUGCCCAAUUUCCUUAUAUUGCCCAUUCUAGAUUAGUAGCCUUUCUGCACGGCGACAUUUUCAACUCAUGUUUAAUAUUGUCGGAACUAAGCAUAGGGUAGAGAAAUGGUUGCUUGCAUGCCAUCCAUGUCCUAGAGAAUGUCCUUACCAUGAACCUACCGCUUUAUUGAUCUGAUUUUAGCUUCUAGAUGUUCUGCAACUAUAUACACAAUAGAUACUGUUUGUCUAAACUGUAAUGGCACUCUAUGAGAAGUUGAGAUAAAUUGAGAAUGGGGCAAAAAAAAAUCCGACGCUUCCCGCUCUAAGCGGUGAAUGCUAUGGCUCCCUGAAGAUAGCAAGCAGCUUGAAUCCAAGGAGAAAACUAAUUUAGUUCUGCCAAGACUCCUAUUUUUUUGUGUAUCUUUGUUCCAACUUUGCAUUGAGUCCAGUUCACUUGGACAAUAUUUAUAUAUUCCUUUGAUUUUCGCCCAAGAAAAUAAAUAUUCUAAAAUCUUCGUAGGAAUAGACUAAAUAGGCUAUGCCCUUACAUUCUCUAUGGAGAAGUUGUUCACCCUUGAAUUCAAAAAUUUAUACCCGCAAC